ACUUUGGGUAAAGCUGAUGGUUGGUACAUUAGCAGCUGUAGCUCUCACUAUUGACGGGCCUGGAACAAAGCUCAUGCAGCAGCCACCAACCAACCAAAACGAACCAUUCAUAACCAAUAUUAUGUGGAGAAACAUAUUGGGACAAGCAUCGUACCUGAUCUCAGUGUUGCUUACCAUCCAAUUCACAGGUGAAUCAGGAUACCAAUUAAGCGACAAGGAAAAGGACACGAUGAUCUUCAACAUCUUUGUUCUCUGCCAACUAUGCAACAUAUUCUACCUGAGGAAGUACGAAGGGGGUCUCCUCAGAGAGCUAAAAACAAAGAGGUUAUUUUGGGGGAUUGUAGGAAUGAUAGUCGUUAUCCAGUUUGCAAUGAUCGAAAUGCUGAAAAGGUUUGCAUGUACUGAGAGAUUGAAUUGGCAGCAGUGGAAAGUGUGUAUUGGGAUAGCUGCUUUAUCAUUUCCAGUUAGUUUGCUCAUAAAAUGCAUACCUCUUCCAAAAACGCCUUUGUUCAGUCGUUGGAACAGGCAAAACUUUAGUUACUCCAGAUUUAGAUCAAG
This 558-nucleotide unclassified non-coding RNA is filed under the name Hevea brasiliensis (rubber tree). The record is from RNAcentral. Lineage: Eukaryota; Viridiplantae; Streptophyta; Magnoliopsida; Malpighiales; Euphorbiaceae.